This 586-nucleotide ribosomal RNA is filed under the name uncultured bacterium. RNAcentral describes it as "bacterial SSU rRNA". It matches the Rfam family "Bacterial small subunit ribosomal RNA", at positions 102 to 686 of the family's 1533-position model. The record is from RNAcentral.
ACGGGUGCGGAACACGUACGCAACCUUCCUUCAAGCGGGGAAUAGCCCAGAGAAAUUUGGAUUAAUACCCCAUAGGAAUGUAGUCUCGCAUGAGACAGCAUUUAAAGAUUUAUCACUUGAAGAUGGGCGUGCGUCUGAUUAGGUAGUUGGUGAGGUAACGGCUCACCAAGCCGACGAUCAGUAACUGGCGUGAGAGCGCGACCAGUCACACGGGCACUGAGACACGGGCCCGACUCCUACGGGAGGCAGCAGUAAGGAAUAUUGGUCAAUGGACGCAAGUCUGAACCAGCCAUGCCGCGUGGAGGAUGAAGGCCCUCUGGGUUGUAAACUUCUUUUAUCUGGGACGAAACACUUCUUAUCUAAGGAGCUUGACGGUACCAGAUGAAUAAGCACCGGCUAACUCCGUGCCAGCAGCCGCGGUAAUACGGAGGGUGCAAGCGUUAUCCGGAUUCACUGGGUUUAAAGGGUGCGUAGGCGGACUUGUAAGUCCGUGGUGAAAUCUCCGAGCUUAACUCGGAAACUGCCAUGGAUACUAUAAGUCUUGAAUGUUGUGGAGGUUAGCGGAAUAGUUCAUGUAGCGGUGAAA